Molecule: unclassified non-coding RNA, 376 nt
Filed under: uncultured Solirubrobacterales bacterium
Lineage: Bacteria; Bacillati; Actinomycetota; Thermoleophilia; Solirubrobacterales
Description: contains 16S-23S intergenic spacer region
Source: RNAcentral
UCCGGUUUGUCACCGGCAGUCUCGCAUGAGUCCCCAACUAAAUGCUGGCAACAUGCGACAGGGGUUGCGCUCGUUGCGGGACUCAACCCAACAUCUCACGACACGAGCUGACGACAGCCAUGCACCACCUGUGAUCCUGCCCCGAAGGGAAACCCUGUUUCCAGGGCGGUCAGGAACAUGUCAAACCCAGGUAAGGUUCUUCGCGUUGCGUCGAAUUAAACCACAUGCUCCGCUGCUUGUGCGGGCCCCCGUCAAUUCCUUUGAAUUUUAGCCUUGCGGCCGUACUCCCCAGGCGGGGUGCUUAAUGCGUUAGCUUCGGCACGGAGGGGGUCGAUACCCCCCACACCAAGCACUCACCGUUUAGGGCGUGGACUAC